UACGGAGGGUGCAAGCGUUAUCCGGAUUUAUUGGGUUUAAAGGGUCCGUAGGCGGAUCUGUAAGUCAGUGGUGAAAUCUCAUAGCUUAACUAUGAAACUGCCAUUGAUACUGCAGGUCUUGAGUAAAGUAGAAGUGGCUGGAAUAAGUAGUGUAGCGGUGAAAUGCAUAGAUAUUACUUAGAACACCAAUUGCGAAGGCAGGUCACUAUGUUUAACUGACGCUGAUGGACGAAAGCGUGGGGAGCGAAACAGG
This 253-nucleotide ribosomal RNA is filed under the name uncultured bacterium. Its description in RNAcentral is "partial 16S ribosomal RNA". It matches the Rfam family "Bacterial small subunit ribosomal RNA", at positions 524 to 776 of the family's 1533-position model. The record is from RNAcentral.